UACCUUCCCGCUGUAGCGGUUCCUAUUUAUCUACUUGCAUUUUGAUGUGCUUUCGAACUGCUAGGUUGGCAGGAGCUGGGACCAAGCAAUGGGAGCUCACCCCGUCACAGGGAUUCGAACCGCCGACCUUCUGAUCAGCAAGCCCUAGGCUCAGUGGUUUAACCACAGCGCCACCUGGGUCCCCAUUAUCCAAGUAGUUUUUAAUAAUUAAAAAUAAUGAUGAUUCAAUUUAUUUGUAGUACAAAACAUUUGUUUUCGUUCAUUCUUCAGGGAAACUUCAACAAUCCUAUGGUGCUCCAAUUUGAUAUACAGUGCAGACACCUAGUGAGGUGCACGGGGCUGAGAGACUUCAGAUAAGUGUGACUAGCCCAAGGUCACCCAGCAGCUGCAUGUGGAGGAGCGGAGACGCGUACCCGGUUCCCCAGAUUACGAGUCUACCGCUCUUAACCACUACACCACACUGGAUAGGUAGGUUUUUUCCCCCUCUCAUGACAGGAGAACUCAUAGGCUUCCAAGGAAGUGUAUAGUGUGCUCUCACAAAUCUGGUUGGCUUUAAAAAGAGGAUUAGACAAUUUCACGAAGGUUAAGGACUACUGAUGGCUGUGUGUAUGAGAUCCUGUAUAUUCAGCUCAGGAUGAAACUAAAAGGUUAACUAUAUCAUGGGAAAGAGCCAACAAAACCAUUCACACCUCAAAAUAAAAGGAGAAAAACACAAAGCAGCCAUGUUUUAGUUAACUGUGGUAUAAUCUUGUACAAGUUGGGGUGGGUCUCACAAUUACACCAGCUUCACAAGAUACAGUGCAGGCAAAGGUUUUUUUUUGCUGCUGCCUGUUGUGCAGCUUCCAUCUAGGCAAUACAGAGUGGAGCUGGAGUGGGAAGUGAAGGGGGGGAACAGUACCCAACAGUUACAAUUCAGCUGCCACGAACAGCAACUAAACAGCAUUUUCCAGCUGUCACAAGAUUAAAAAAGGUUUUGUUUGCAACAACGCUCAAAAAAGCAACAAGGCUAACCGUUAAUAGCUAACAAGUGAAGAGAGGCCAGAA
Non-coding RNA from Zootoca vivipara (common lizard), 1044 nucleotides. The record is from RefSeq and is a predicted model, not a curated record. NCBI's taxonomy places the organism in Eukaryota, Metazoa, Chordata, Lepidosauria, Squamata, Lacertidae.